CUCGUAGUUGGAUUUGUGGCGUGUGCCAUGGCGUCCAUUUAUUUGGUUCUGCCGUGGCCGUGCCAUCCUUGGGUGGAUCUUGUGUGGCAUUAGGUUGUCGUGCAGGGGAUUCCCAUCGUUUACUGUGAAAAAAUUAGAGUGUUCAAAGCAGGCUUAUGCCGUUGAAUAUAUUAGCAUGGAAUAAUAAGAUAGGUCUUUGGUCCUAUUUUGUUGGUUUGCGGGCCGGAGAAAUGAUUAACAGGGACAGUUGGGGGUAUUCGUAUUCCAUUGUCAGAGGUGAAAUUCUUGGAUUUCUGGAAGACGAACUACUGCGAAAGCAUUUACCAAGGAUGUUUUCAUUAAUCAAGAACGAAAGUUAGGGGAUCGAAGAUGAUUAGAUACCAUCGUAGUC
This 391-nucleotide ribosomal RNA is filed under the name Stauroneis gracilis. RNAcentral describes it as "SSU rRNA". It matches the Rfam family "Eukaryotic small subunit ribosomal RNA", at positions 627 to 1025 of the family's 1831-position model. Lineage: Eukaryota; Bacillariophyta; Bacillariophyceae; Naviculales; Stauroneidaceae. The record is from RNAcentral.